CGAGAACCCGCUGGUUUAUUGCGACGGGCACGGCUGCAGCGUCGCGGUGCAUCAAGAGAUGUGAACUUUGUCCCCAUAAGGAUGGAGCUUUAAAAAGAACAGAUAAUGGGGGUUGGGCCCAUGUGGUUUGUGCCCUGUAUAUUCCAGAGGUACAAUUUGCCAAUG
Molecule: small RNA, 165 nt
Filed under: Pan troglodytes (chimpanzee)
Lineage: Eukaryota; Metazoa; Chordata; Mammalia; Primates; Hominidae
Description: processed transcript
Source: RNAcentral